This is a long non-coding RNA of Gallus gallus (chicken), 456 nucleotides long. Lineage: Eukaryota; Metazoa; Chordata; Aves; Galliformes; Phasianidae. The record is from Ensembl.
GAAUUUUUUGUAAGAAGAAAAGUGUGUCUGUGCUCUUGAAGACAACUUCUGAAAGGAAAUAGAGGCUUGUUUUACCCCAUCCAGUUAUUCAGAGCCCACUGUGAUGGCUUAGUUCUCUUUUCUGUGAGAUGCUGAAUGUCUUCAGUGCCCAUAUCCUGAUAAGAAAAUAACUGUUCCAUCCUAUUGUAUACCACCAUGUUACCAAUUGAGAAAAAUCUAUGGACCAUUGCCUUCAGGAUUCUUAAAGCACAGUAGAUGGCUGGGAUUCAACUUGUGGUGCUACCACUGACGUUCUGUUGGCCUUUGACUUGCUGAACCUCCCAGGUACUACUGCAGUGUAGAGGGAAAUAAAUAAGGGGCAUCAUGCAUGCAUCAGGAUUCUUCUAGAUGUGGCUUGUAUCACUCAAAAAUAUUUUUCAAAAGAUGUGCAUUUUUUACCUUUCUCUUGAUCCUUGC